RNAcentral lists this ribosomal RNA (118 nucleotides) under Eucalyptus grandis. The record is from RNAcentral. Lineage: Eukaryota; Viridiplantae; Streptophyta; Magnoliopsida; Myrtales; Myrtaceae.
GGGUGUGAUCAUACCAGCACUAAUGCACCGGAUCCCAUCAGAACUCCGAAGUUAAGCUGCUUGGGCGAGAGUAGUUCUAGGAUGGGUGACCUCAUGGGAAGUCCUUGUGUUGCACCAC